Molecule: long non-coding RNA, 678 nt
Organism: Dipodomys spectabilis (banner-tailed kangaroo rat)
Lineage: Eukaryota; Metazoa; Chordata; Mammalia; Rodentia; Heteromyidae
Exons: 2
Source: RefSeq, a predicted model, not a curated record
GGUGCGGCGUCCUACGGGGAGGACCCCGGGCCUGCGCCCCCCUCCCGCCCUCCCAGGGCCACAGCCGCCCCCACCAGACUCUCAAUAAAUAAAGCCCCUCACCCACCCCUCCGCGGUGCAAUGUUGGCUGAUUGACUUCCAGAGGAUCCUGACCUGUGCUUUGUGUUUUCAUACCGUACGAAAGAGAGAAAGAGAGGCACAAGGACUUGGGGGAGACGCGGGGAGGAGGAGUAAGGCACAGAAAGACAAGCCAGAGGGGCCACGUCACACCGGGGUGGCCGGGUGUGCCCGCGCUCCCCUCCCGCCCGGGCCGCCCCGGGGAGGGAGGGCUGGGGACAGCGACUUCCUGUGGUGUGGUACCGAAUUGUUCCCGAAUCGCUCCGCGAGGAGGGCUUCCCUACGGGACGGGGACGCGAAGAGACCCAAACGACGACUGCCCCACCCCGAAAUAAAGAGUACAGACGUGACAGCGGAGACGGGGAGGGCGUGGGGACGCGCGGGAGCGGCCGGGCGCCGCGGAACGCUCGGGAAGAGGACGACCCCCCUCCCCAGGAACCCCGACUCCUACCUAGCGCAGAGGAACCAGGACUGGAAGAGGACCCAAGAGAGACAGAGACAGAGACACACAGUGAAUGAGAAGAGCUGGGGGCUGGUCCCAUCUCCCUCUGAGUUGGCCUU